This 253-nucleotide ribosomal RNA is filed under the name uncultured bacterium. Its description in RNAcentral is "partial 16S ribosomal RNA". It matches the Rfam family "Bacterial small subunit ribosomal RNA", at positions 524 to 776 of the family's 1533-position model. The record is from RNAcentral.
UACGUAGGGUGCAAGUGUUAUCCGGAAUCACUGGGCGUAAAGCGUCUGUAGGUGGUUUAAAAAGUCCACUGUUAAAGAUUGAGGCUUAACUUCAAAAAUGCCGUGGAAACUUUCAAACUAGAGUAUGGUAGGGGUAGAGGGAAUUUCCAGUGGAGCGGUGAAAUGCGUAGAUAUUGGAAAGACCACCGAUGGCGAAGGCACUCUACUGGGCCAUUACUGACACUGAGAGACGAAAGCUAGGGGAGCAAAUGGG